This 4416-nucleotide long non-coding RNA is filed under the name Piliocolobus tephrosceles (Ugandan red Colobus). RNAcentral's name for it is "lncRNA (ENSPTEG00000014238.1)". Lineage: Eukaryota; Metazoa; Chordata; Mammalia; Primates; Cercopithecidae. The record is from RNAcentral.
CUUAUACAGAUUUUUUAAUGCAUACAACCGUCGAGUCAGAAUAUAAUAAAAAUGUAAAUGAAACACCAACUGUAUAUACAAAUAGUAAUGAAAAGGAAACUACAUAUCAUAAUAACAUGUGCUAUAACAAUAUCAAUAACGGUAGUAUAAGUAGAAGUAUAAGCAUAAAGGGUAGUAGUAACAAAAACAAAAGCGAUAGUACCAAUUUGAACACAAAAUCAAAUGAAAUAAUUGAUUUAAAAACACAAAACAUGUGUGUAUUGAAUCCACAAAAUACAGUAUCAAAUUAUAUAGUUGAUGGUAAUAUUAAAAAUAACUACGACUGUCAAAAUAAAGCUGUAGAUGGACCAACUGAGUUUUUAAACUUGAAUGAUAACCAAUAUUUUUACAUUUAUGACGAGAAUUAUGAUAAUGCUGCUACUGCAGUUGAUGAACAUGCUAGUGCUACCUCUACUACUACUGGUGCAGCCGAUGUUACUUCUAUUAACAAUUGUUUAAACAAAUUUAAUGUCAGCACAAAUGACGGUGUUAAUAAUAACGCAUAUAGUAACAGCGCAUAUAGUAACAGCGCAUACAGUAACAACGCUUAUCAUAACGAUGAUUAUAUUGUUAUGAAUCCAAGUAGUUAUGAAAAUAAUUUUUAUGUAAUUCACAAUUAUGCUGAUGGUGAUGUAAAUCAGAUUGGCGAGCAUACUAACGACACGAGUGCAGACUAUAGAAGUGCAAACAUGAACCUAAUCGGACUGGAAGCAGGAGCAGAAAAGGGAAUAGAAACGGAAAAAGAAACAGAAAUAGAAACAGAAGCAGAAGCAGAAACAGAAAAAGAAACAGAAACAGAAACAGAAAAAGAAAAAGAAACAGAAACAGAAACAGAAAAAAGGAAAGAAACAGAAAUAGAAACAGAAACAGGAGCAAAACUAGAAAUAGAAACAGAAAAGGAAACAGAAAAAGAAACAGAAACAACAGAUAUUAUAGAAGCAAAUGAAAAUAUGAAUGACCAGAAUAGUAACAGUAGUAAAAAUAAAGGCAUAAUACAUCUAAAUGAAGCAAACGACGGAACAAAUGCAAGUAAAACUAUAAGAAACAUAACAAAUGCAAUUAACUAUCAAAUUAUAGAAGAUGAUAUGAAUGUAAAUAAAAAUGUAGAUAUGUUUGUAUUACAAAAAACAUUACAUAAUCAUGAUCAUAUAGCUAACUUUAGUAAUUAUAUGAAUGAUUCGAAUAACACAUUUUAUGGUGGUACAACUUUUAUUGAUACAUAUAAUAAUAGAUGUGCUAAUACGCGUGAAGGCAUAAUAAAUAAUUACAGUAUAAAUAUUGACACUUAUAAUAAUAAUAGUUACCUUCCACACAAAACAAUUUUAAAUAUCGAUAGUUAUAACAAUAAUCUAGCACUGUCCAAUUCGCUACCAAUAAAUCAGCACGGUAGUUAUAAAAGAAACAGAAGCGACGACAGUAAUAAAAGCGAGGACAGUAAUAAAAGCGAGGACAGUAAUAAAAGCGACAACAGUAUUGGAAGCGAGAACAAUAACAUAAGUGAUAUUAAUAGAUAUGAAUAUAAAGAUAACAUACAAACGUAUAAUAAACAAUCACACAAUAUAGUUGCUUAUCAUCAUCAUCAUCAUCAUCAUCAUCCAGUAGACAACUAUAUAAACACAAAUGAUACACUCUACAACGAAAUUGAAGACUAUGAUAAAAUAUUUUAUAAAAAUAUAAAAACAAGUAGUAUUAGUAGUAGUAGUAGUAGUGGUAGUUGUAGUGGUAGUUGUAGUGGUAACAGGUAUAUGCUUAAUGAAACUAUAAACGUCACUAAUAGAACUGAUUCAAAUAAUAUUUAUAAUGAACAAAUAAGUAGUUGCAAUAGUAGUAGCGACGGCAACAACAAUAAUAAUAAUAAAAUUUUAAAAAAUUGUAAUAUAACAAUAAACGGUAUGCAAGUUAACGGUAUGCAAGUUAACGGUAUGCAAGUUAACGGUAUGCAAGUUAACGGUAUGCAAAUAAAUAGUAUGGCAAUAAAGAAUAACAUACAAAAUCGUAACAUAUCGAAUACUAGUAUGCCUGUUAGUAGUAUUCCUGUUAGUAGUGUGCCUGUUAGUAGUGUGCCUGCUAGUAGUAUUCCUGUAAAUAGCAUGGCCGUAAACAAUAUGGGCGUAAAUAACAUUCAAGUAAAUAAUAUUUGCAAUAACAAAAUAAUAACACAACCAACAUUUCUGCAAAAUAAUAUCAUGAUGAUAUCGACACAUACAUGUAAUACAAAUGUGUUAUUAAAUUCAAUGAAUAUACCCAUGAACAUACCAAUGGGUAAUCCUAUGAUUAGUUCUACGGGUAGCCAUGUAAACAAGCGUAGUUUAUUAUUUGAUUAUGCGUUGAUGCAAAAUUUUAAUAAAAAAUAUAAAGUAUGCUCAAACACAAGUAAUGCUAGUAGUAUUAGUAGUAAUACUAGUAAUUGUAGUGACCACAAAUUAACAAAAAGUUUAAAUAACUUUGACACAAUGCCUAUUACAAACCAUGUAUUGGAAUAUAUAAAAGAUGUUAAAUAUGAAUCUGCUUAUAUAGAUAAUAGUUGUGAAAACAAAAACUGCAUUACAAAUGACAUAUACGACAUUACAAAUAGUUCUUUUUCCAAUGAAAAUACUGAUAGGUAUAAUAUGAAUAUGUUAACAAUAACCGAAACUAACAACAGUAAUAAAGAAAAUAAUAAUAACAACAAAAAUAGUAAUAACAACAAAAAUAGUAAUAACAACAAAAAUAGUAAUAACAACAUUAAUAACAACAUUAAUAACAACAUUAAUAACGAAGACAAUAGUAGUAGCAUUACUAAAAGAACCCGAGUAAACGGUUACAGAAAAAAAACAUCUAAUGGAAAUUAUGGAACGUCAUCAAAAAUGAAUAAAAAAAAUGUAAAAUAUAAAAGCUUUGGUGGUACAGUUAAAAAAAGUGGUAUAUUAUAUAACUUAGAAGUGGAGUCAGCAAAAAUUAAAAACACACCUUUAUGUAUUUAUUCCCUACAAGAUAUAUUUAAUCAUGAUAGAUCUAAUAAAAAAAAUUAUAGAUACAUAGAUGGCCCAUAUGGUACUGUUGAAUGUGAAUGUAAAUUCCAUCAUAAUAUAAAUUGUUUAAAUGAUUAUAUAAUGUUUUUGCUUGAUAAGAAAAAUAAAGCAUUAAAAAAAAAAAAACAAAAAAAAUUAGUAAAAAUAAAAAGUCGAUUAUUGAUGGUGGUUCUGCCGCUUUUGGUGGUUCUACCGCUUUUGGUGGUUCUGCUGCUUUGGGUGGUUCUGCUGCUUUUGGUGGUUCUGCUGCUUUGGGUGGUUCUGCCGCUUUUGGUGGUUCUGCUGCUUUUGGUGGUUCUGCUGCUUUUGGUGGUUCUGCUGCUUUUGGUGGUUCUGCUUCUGUUACUACUGGCGAAGUGGAUAUAAAAAAUAAUAAUAAUAAUAAUAAUAAUAAUAAUAAUAAUAAUAAUAGUAACAGUAAUAGUAACAGUAACAGUAAUAGUAACAGUAAUAGUAACAGUAAUAGUAACAGUAANNNNNNNNNNCAGUAAUAGUAACAGUAAUAGUAACAGUAAUAGUAACAGUAAUAGUAGCAGUAAUAGUAGCAGUAAUAAUAAUAGUACUGGUAGUAAUGACAAUAAUAACUCGGAUAUGUAUAAAGAAAUCGAAAAUAGAGACUAUGAUAGCGACUGUAGUAGCGACUGUAGUAGUGACUGUAGCAGUAACAGCAGUAGUGAUUGUAGUAGCGACUGUAGUAGCGAUAGUUCUGUUGAAAGUGAAAAAAAAAAACAAAAAUAUGACAUUAGCCAGUGUGAUAAUAUAGUAUAUAAUAUAAAAAAAAUCUGGACACCAACAUUUAAUCGACCUUUAGGUGAUAUUGGAAGAAAACUCAUACUUAAAGAAAUUAGAGAACAUCAUCAUAAAAAUGCAGACAAAACUACAAAAAUAUUAAAAAAGCAAGGGUUGGAUUAUGGAAAAGUACGUUUUAUGAGAGUAAAUGAAUUGUACCAUUAUAUGUAUGCUUUAAAUGUGUUUGAUUAUGCUUUGAAAAUAUCGUUAGAAUUCGGAUCUAAUAUCAGGAUGAGUGCUACAAAAACUGUAGAAGAUUAUCCAAAUUUAUGUAUAAACUUAAAAAGUGGCUAUUCAUAUUGUUUGUUAUGCCAUUCCCAACGUCCUAACCUAUAUGGACUCUAUUCAACAUUUAAUUUGUUAAGUUAUAAAACAUUACUUGAAAAAUAUGGUAAAAAUUUCAAAGAGUUUGUAACAAAAUUUAAUUUAAAAAGCGUUGAACAUAAUAAUAUGACUAAUCACUUGAAAGUGGAGGAAGAAGAAGAAGAAGAAGAAGAAGAAGAGACUCUUGAAUAUGAUGAAUCUAUGUCUGGUAAUGAUUAUGAAAAUGACACAACCACUACUGCCAGUACUACUG